GAGACACCUUUAUGGGGCAAGACUUGCUUCAGUGGGGCUUUGGCACUCACUGAGUCUGCCCCCUGAAGGUGUCUCU
Myotis davidii is the source of this 76-nucleotide non-coding RNA. NCBI's taxonomy places the organism in Eukaryota, Metazoa, Chordata, Mammalia, Chiroptera, Vespertilionidae. The record is from Rfam.